This 3934-nucleotide ribosomal RNA is filed under the name Nitrososphaerota archaeon. RNAcentral's name for it is "23S ribosomal RNA". It matches the Rfam family "Archaeal large subunit ribosomal RNA". The record is from RNAcentral. Lineage: Archaea; Thermoproteati; Nitrososphaerota.
UCCGUAAUGCACCGACGCCGUAUGGUGGAUGACUUGGCUUGGGUGGCGACGAAGGACGCGGCAAGCUGCGAAAAGCCCCGGGGAGGCGCACGCAUCCCUUGAUCCGGGGAUUUCCGAAUGGGGUAAAACCCACCGAGAUUGCCGCAAGGCGUCUCGGUGAUCCGAAAGGAUCGCGAACGCUGGGGAAGGAAACAUCUGAGUACCAGCAGGAAGAGAAAUCAAUUGAGAUCCCGUUACUAGCGGCGAGCGAAAACGGGACAGCCCAAACCGAAUCCCCUGGUGAAAGCUAGGGGAGAUGUAGGGUUCGCCUUCAGCGUGUGCGACCCUGGGACCGAUAGCUGAACUCGGCUGGAAAGCCGGAGAACAGAGUGUGAUACUCACGUAGGUCAAUCGGGACCGAGGUCGUGCUGAGGGCAGAGUACCUGGCCUUGGCAGUGGCUAGGGAACAUGGGGGAAAGCAGCCUCCAAGGCUAAACACUACCCAAGACCGAUAGCAAACUACGUACCGCGAGGGAAAGUUGCAAAGGGCCCCGAAAGGGGUGUGAAAAGAGCCUGAAACCAUACGGUUACAGACGUGCGCGGCAUGGAAGGACCACGAUCCUUGAGCGAGUCCCGCAAGGGGCUCAAUUGAGGGUAAGUGCUCCGGUGUCGCGCAUUCCGUCUAGAAACACGGGCCAGGGAGUUAACUGUCAUGGCGAGCCUAAGGGUUCAAAGCCCGGAGGCGAAGCGAAAGCGAUACUCCGCAAGGCCGCAAGGCCCCAGGGAGGAGGUGUGAAAGUGCCUUUGAGUCAUGGCGGUUUAGACUAGAAACCGAGUGAUCGUGCCCUCGACAAGGUGAAGCCGGGCGAAAGCCUGGUGGAGGCCUGACAGGGUCUUAACGUGCAACUUAGUCCCCUGAUCGGGGGCAAGGGGCCAAAAGCCUAUCUAACUCGGUGAUUGCUAGUUCCCACCGAAGCGGAUCCCAGUCCUGUCUCCGUGGAUGUAGCUCACGCUGUAGAGCACCGAUGAAGAAACAAGGAUUCGAAAGGGUCCACUUCUUUUUCGAACUCCGAAUGUGUGGGCGCAAGAGAAGCGGGGAAGCGGGUUUAUGUGGGGUAAGCCUCAUAACCGAGAGGGGAUUAACCCAGACUGGAGUUAAGGUCCCCAAGUUUAGGCUAAGUGUCAAGCUAAAGGGUGUCCGCGAGCUCAGACAGCAGGGAGGUAGGCUUAGAAGCAGCCACCCUUCAAAGAUAGCGUAACAGCUCACCUGCCGAGCUUGCAGGCCCCGAAAAUGGACGGGACUAAAGCCUAGCACCGAUACUCCGGACAGCUACUCUGAGAGUAGCUUGUGGUAGGUGGGCGUAGAGAUUGGGCGGAAGCCGGGCCGUGAGGUCCGGUGGACCGAUUUCUAGUGCAGAUCCUGGUAGUAGUAGCAGCAUAGUCGGGUGAGAAUCCUGACCGCCGCAAGGGCACGGGUUCCCUGGCAAUGCGUCGUCAGCCAGGGGUUAGCCGAUCCUAAGUGUAUCCUCAACAGGGAAACACGAACCAGGGAAACUGGUUAAAAUUCCAGUGCCUUCGUAUGACCGAUGGGCCGCAAGGCCCGAUAUCGACUCCGAUGCUUCGAGGUAGGACGUGCAGAGUUUAUCGCUCUGUCUAAUCUUCCGAGUCGUGGGGAGUGUCGUAAUGACGAGAACCACGUCGAGGGGAGAAUGGCAGCCCGUUGGGGUUGUUCGCCCAAUCCUCGGAGACAGUGAAAACGGAGUUGGAAAGGCCAUGCGAAGAUCGUACCCAGAACCGACACCGGUGCCCCUAGGUAAGAAGCCUAAGGCGUGUCGGGGAACUGUAGGUAAGGGAACUCGGCAAAAUAGUGGCGUACGUUAGCUAGAAGCCAUGCCUGCAUUCUUCAUGAGAAAUGGGGUUUGCAGGUUGCAAUAACAAGGGGGUCCCGACUGUUUACUAAAAACACAGUAAGCCGCAAGUCCGAAAGGAUGUGUACGGCUUAUGAAUCCUGGCCAGUGCAGGUACCUAAAACCUGGGUUCAACUGGGCUAAGGGCCUGUAAACGCCGGGAGUAACUCUGACUCUCUUAAGGUAGCCAAAUGCCUUGUCGGGUAAGUUCCGACGUGCAUGAAUGGACCAACGAGGGCCCCGCUGUCCCUAUCUACGACCCGGCGAACCUACGUAAGGUGGACGAACAGUCCAUCAACUUCCAUCGGGGAGAGAAGUCCCUGUGGAGCUUUACUGCAGCUUGUUGCUGCGAUGCGGUCUUCUUUGCAGAGUGUAGCUGGGAGACUUCGAAGCGCUGCUUUCGGGUGGCGUGGAGUCAACAAUGUAACACCAGCCUUAGUGGACUGCGUCGCUAACUCCUACGGGAGGACAACGGCAGGUGGGCAGUUCGGCUGGGGCGGCACCCCCUUGAAAAGAUAUCGAGGGGGCCCUAAGGUCGGCUCAUCUGGGUCAGAACUCCAGAGUUGACGGCAAGGCGAAAAGCCGGCCUGACAGGAAGUUUAAACGCAGAACUUUCUGCAACGAAAGUUUGGCCUAGCGAUCCUCCAAGUCCUCACUGUUGGGGGCUGGAGGUGACAGAAAAGUUACCCCAGGGGUAACAGGCUCGUCGCGGGCGAGAGCUCCAAUCGACCCCGCGGUUUGGUACCUCGGCCCAUCAGGGCCUUGGGGCAGAAUCGUGGUAACGCGAUUGAAGUAUCCGCAGAAAAAACACGAGUAUCGGCUUAUAUCGGCGAAACCCGACCUCCUUUAUCCAGGAGUCCCCCCAAGGGGAUCAUUGGGAAGAGCGGGAGAGGGCAACGCCGAGGGAAGUCCAAUGGGAAUUCAGCACCCGACCAGAUGGAAGAAGUCAUUCGAUGACGCCGUGAAUGGCGUCCCAACAGCAGCACAUAUCGAGCUUGCAGGCAGGGCAGUCGACAGCGGAGGGGGCCUCACGGCACUCUUCCUGGGCGCAGCCGCAGUCUGCACAGCGCAUAACAAAUCUCGCUGCCAUGACAGGGACGCCACAGCUUCGUCUAAUACGACUUUCAUCUGAUUGGAAACGCAGGUUCGGUCAGGCAUCACCGCGGAUGGCAUGCGCAGAUUCAGGGAGGGCGCGCCUCAGAGGUGCGCGAGGAUAGGAUACACGGCGAGCAGCAUUAUCGCCAGCAUGGCGACGAUGAGGACCGCCGCGGCCAGGGCAAAGAACUUGCUCGUCCUGUCCAUGCGCGUCUCGCCAGCGCGGCACCCAAUAAACCCUGGGUAUGCGCAGGUCAAACAUCCCGGAUGCCACCGUUAAAGAGGUCCGGCCGUUCCGUUGUGACCCCGUAACGACUGAGCGCGCAGAAGUGUGCGUAAUGAGAUGGCCACGCGGCUAGCUCGAGAUCCCGCAAGGGACACAUCGCGUUCCGACGCGAUGCGACAUGGGCGCAAGCCCGCUCGGGUGUGCCACACAAGAAACGCGGCCAUCAUACGCCGACCCCACGAGUGCUCGUGGGUGAAGACAUAGUCUAACUCCGGGCGUAAGCCUGGGUAUAGUUGCGAUGUCGGCUCUUCCCAUCCUGGUCCUGCAGCAGGGGCCAAGGGUGGGGCUGCUCGCCCAUCAAAGGGGAACGUGAGCUGGGUUUAGACCGUCGUGAGACAGGUCGGCCUCUACCUGAUGGAAGCGGUGGUUCACUGAGGGGAAGCCCUGCCCAGUACGAGAGGAACAGCGGGGCGUUGCCUCUGGCGUACCGGUCGUCCGAGAGGGCGUCGCCGGGCAGCUAAGCAAUUGUGGAUAACCGCUGAAAGCAUCUAAGCGGGAAGCCACUCCCGAGAAGAGUGAGCCUUGGACCCAAGCUACCUCCGCAAGGGGGUGGGGCGGGUCCAGAAGGGCGGCCAUAGAAGAUGGCGUUGAAAUGGUGGGGGUGUACGCUGGAAGCUUCGGCGACCAGUUCAGCCCGUCCACUAAUUACAGCCCAACGCUUGGAUGA